This 253-nucleotide ribosomal RNA is filed under the name uncultured bacterium. RNAcentral describes it as "partial 16S ribosomal RNA". It matches the Rfam family "Bacterial small subunit ribosomal RNA", at positions 524 to 776 of the family's 1533-position model. The record is from RNAcentral.
GACAGAGGGUGCAAGCGUUGUUCGGAAUUAUUGGGCGUAAAGGGCGCGUAGGCGGCCUUGUAAGUCAGAUGUGAAAGCCCAGGGCUCAACCCUGGAAGUGCAUCUGAUACUGCGAGGCUUGAGUCCUGGAGAGGGUGGUGGAAUUCCUGGUGUAGAGGUGAAAUUCGUAGAUAUCAGGAGGAACACCGGUGGCGAAGGCGACCACCUGGACAGAGACUGACGCUGAGGCGCGAAAGCGUGGGGAGCAAACAGG